CGAAUUCUACGGUAGUAACUUCACCACUUUCUAAUAAAGUAUGCAAAACAUAAAUUUAUAUGAUAAAGUACCAAAAGUAUUUGAAUCACUACACUAGUUUCAAAUCAUGAUAUCAACAAAACUACGAUAGUUGUAUAAUAUCCUCGAUCAGGCGGACCAAAACUCCUCCUCAACCACACUAACAAUGACCAUUCCAUAAAUAAUCUAUUGCACAAUCUUUUUCUACUGCAACAAUUUCAAUACAACGAAAUGUUGUUGUUACUUUAAUAAUGAACAAAUUCUGCUGCAUAAUUUUUUCUCGUAUACAUGGUCUAUAUAUAUUUCACUUGUGACUCAAUUAAAUGACCACACAAAAAUAUGUAAAUAGUAAAUAUUAAAUGACCACACAAUUAAAUUCUUCUUCGCUUACUUUGAGCUACAUCAGGUGAUGCGGUCGUAAUAUUGCAGCAGCUGCAGAGACAUUGUGUUGCCACCAGACCAUUGCAAUGCUUUGGUGAAUAUCUGAAUGGUAAAUAGAUAUAUCCCUUUGCAAACUGUGGCAGAAGAAGAAUUGCAACUCCAAGUGACAUUAUUUUUUCUAUAAAUAGGGUCACUUUUGACAUAAUGAAACCAACGAAUUCAAGUAAUUGUCAUCCAUUUUCUUUCACUCAUUCUCAUAUACUAAGUCAACUUAUUCUUUUCUAAUGCAUGAGAAAAGAAUAGGUAACAUUAUUUUGUAACAUACUAUUGAAAGAUAUUCUUGGUGUGAUUGUGCAAAUCAUAUCAAGGUUUUCAAAGUACCCUGAAGGGGAUUCGCGGGUUAUCUCAUUUGCAUCCGAUUGGUGGAGGUGAAUCGAAACUAAAGGCUAGUGUAACAACACACUUUGGAAUUUGCUACAUAUAAUCUUCAUCAACAGCUUCACUAUUAACGUCUUGCAACAAUUGCCACCAACACAGAUCCAACAGAUUAUGAAGUCAUCAAACAAAUUAUUUUUCUAUCGGACGUGUCUUUGUAUCAUAAAUUUAAAGUGUACUUUAAAUGGUUAAUAAUAUAUUAAAGUGAUAUAGAAUUGAUAAUAAAAUAGUUAGGAGAUAUUAUAGAUAAAAUAUGAAAUAUGUGAGUUAUAAAAGUAGUAAUACAUUAUAAUAUUUUUCACUAAAAAGAAUAAAUUAACGCUGCGAUUACUGCAAUAAGCAUCACAACUUCCGCAAUGCUUGCUACCACAACUUAAUUGCGAUCACAAUCUCAAUUUAAAACUAUAGUUAUGACCAUGUUCUUCACAUGUUUGAUAUGACCAUGGUUUUGCCAACAAUCGAUUUAUUGACAACUUGUAGACUUCUUUUGAUUCUUCCAGUUUUAGAUACUAUGGGAUCUAAUGAUUAAUUUAGGGUAUUCGCUUGCAUUUUCAAAUACAAUCGCAUAUCGAAAACUUGUUGCUAAAAAAAAGUGAAUAAUGCUAGCAAUACAUUUUUUUACACUGUCUUACUAAUAUAUUUUUUUUAUUGGUUAAAAUUCACAUAAAUUAUAGCAAACUUAAAUGAACUCACACAAUUUAUUGGAUUCCAUGAAAAUUUCGACCAACAAUAUGCUUCAUCAUAUCCCAUAAAUUCAUAAAUUAAAGUUGGCUACCACAUUUAGUAGUCUUUGUAUCAAUGUCCAUAUUUAUAAUACAUGGGUCUUGAGAAUCAAAACCACUUUUGGCAAUAUAUUUUCUCUAUAAAUUUACUAACAUUUGGUGAAAAAUGAAUAGCUUCAAAGUUAAUUUAUACGAUAUAAGAGAGUCACGGAUUCUAAUUUAUAAUAGAAUUGUUUAUCCUUCAACUAUUGUGAAAUUUUGUAGUGAAGUUUGACAAGACAGAGGAUAGCCGCUACGAGAAAGAAAGAAAAUAAGAAAAAGUUAUAAAUUAGUAUGAAAU
This 1896-nucleotide long non-coding RNA is filed under the name Cicer arietinum (chickpea). Its description in RNAcentral is "long non-coding RNA (CARI_LNC003181)". Lineage: Eukaryota; Viridiplantae; Streptophyta; Magnoliopsida; Fabales; Fabaceae. The record is from RNAcentral.